AGACCGAUAGCGAACAAGUAGAGUGAUCGAAAGAUGAAAAGCACUUUGGAAAGAGAGUCAAACAGCACGUGAAAUUGUUGAAAGGGAAGCGCUUGCAGCCAGACUUGCUUACAGUUGCUCAUCCGGGUUUCUACCCGGUGCACUCUUCUGUAGGCAGGCCAGCAUCAGUUUGGGCGGUAGGAUAAAGGUCUCUGUCACGUACCUCCUUUCGGGGAGGCCUUAUAGGGGAGACGACAUACUACCAGCCUGGACUGAGGUCCGCGCAUCUGCUAGGAUGCUGGCGUAAUGGCUGUAAGCGGCCCGUCUUGAAACACGGACCAAGA
Molecule: ribosomal RNA, 323 nt
Filed under: Alternaria sp.
Lineage: Eukaryota; Fungi; Ascomycota; Dothideomycetes; Pleosporales; Pleosporaceae
Description: partial large subunit ribosomal RNA
Rfam family: Eukaryotic large subunit ribosomal RNA
Source: RNAcentral